Non-coding RNA from Podarcis lilfordi (Lilford's wall lizard), 69 nucleotides. The record is from the annotation of a GenBank genome assembly. NCBI's taxonomy places the organism in Eukaryota, Metazoa, Chordata, Lepidosauria, Squamata, Lacertidae.
GCAGUGGCUCAGUGGCAGAGCGUCUGCUUUGCAUGCAGAAGGUACCAGGUUCAAUCCCCGGCAUCUCCA